GAAAACCGUGAGCUACAGUUACAGACUUGUAAUGACACCUGUGGAAAUGAUCUCAUGGUUAAAGAACAUCCUAGGGACUGUGUUGUU
Non-coding RNA from Hordeum vulgare subsp. vulgare (domesticated barley), 87 nucleotides. Lineage: Eukaryota; Viridiplantae; Streptophyta; Magnoliopsida; Poales; Poaceae. The record is from Rfam.